AACGAACGCUGGCGGCAUGCCUAACACAUGCAAGUCGAACGAGACCUUCGGGUCUAGUGGCGCACGGGUGCGUAACGCGUGGGAACCUGCCCUUAGGUUCGGAAUAACUCCCCGAAAGGGGUGCUAAUACCGGAUAAUGUCUUCGGACCAAAGAUUUAUCGCCUUUGGAUGGGCCCGCGUUGGAUUAGCUAGUUGGUAGGGUAAAAGCCUACCAAGGCGACGAUCCAUAGCUGGUCAGAGAGAAUGAUCAGCCACACUGGGACUGAGACACGGCCCAGACUCCUACGGGAGGCAGGAGAGGGGAAUAUUGGACCAUGGGCGAAAGCCUGAUGCAGUAAUGCCGCUUGAGUGAUGAAGGCCUUAGGGUUGUAAAGCUCUUUUACCCGGGCUGAUAAUGACAGUACCGGGAGAAUAAGCUCCGGCUAACUACGUG
RNAcentral lists this ribosomal RNA (433 nucleotides) under uncultured bacterium. Its description in RNAcentral is "partial 16S ribosomal RNA". It matches the Rfam family "Bacterial small subunit ribosomal RNA", at positions 29 to 507 of the family's 1533-position model. The record is from RNAcentral.